CACCCGCAGCUCGAGUGGUUGUCACUUUUAUUGAGCCUAAAGCGUUCGUAGCCGGUUUUGUAAAUCCUCAGACAAAUUCUCCUGCUUAACGGGAGAUACUCUGGAGAGACUGCGAAACUAGGGACCGGGUGAGGUUGAAGGUACUUCUGGGGUAGGGGUAAAAUCCUGUAAUCCUGGAAGGACGACCAGUGGCGAAGGCGUUCAACUAGAACGGAUCCGACGGUGAGGAGCGAGGGCUAGGGGAGCAAACAGG
This 253-nucleotide ribosomal RNA is filed under the name uncultured archaeon. RNAcentral describes it as "partial 16S ribosomal RNA". It matches the Rfam family "Archaeal small subunit ribosomal RNA", at positions 474 to 727 of the family's 1478-position model. The record is from RNAcentral.